AGAGUUUGAUCCUGGCUCAGGAUGAACGCUAGCUACAGGCUUAACACAUGCAAGUCGAGGGGCAGCAUGGUCUUAGCUUGCUAAGGCCGAUGGCGACCGGCGCACGGGUGAGUAACACGUAUCCAACCUGCCGUCUACUCUUGGACAGCCUUCUGAAAGGAAGAUUAAUACAAGAUGGCAUCAUGAGUCCGCAUGUUCACAUGAUUAAAGGUAUUCCGGUAGACGAUGGGGAUGCGUUCCAUUAGAUAGUAGGCGGGGUAACGGCCCACCUAGUCUUCGAUGGAUAGGGGUUCUGAGAGGAAGGUCCCCCACAUUGGAACUGAGACACGGUCCAAACUCCUACGGGAGGCAGCAGUGAGGAAUAUUGGUCAAUGGGCGAGAGCCUGAACCAGCCAAGUAGCGUGAAGGAUGACUGCCCUAUGGGUUGUAAACUUCUUUUAUAAAGGAAUAAAGUCGGGUAUGCAUACCCGUUUGCAUGUACUUUAUGAAUAAGGAUCGGCUAACUCCGUGCCAGCAGCCGCGGUAAUACGGAGGAUCCGAGCGUUAUCCGGAUUUAUUGGGUUUAAAGGGAGCGUAGAUGGAUGUUUAAGUCAGUUGUGAAAGUUUGCGGCUCAACCGUAAAAUUGCAGUUGAUACUGGAUAUCUUGAGUGCAGUUGAGGCAGGCGGAAUUCGUGGUGUAGCGGUGAAAUGCUUAGAUAUCACGAAGAACUCCGAUUGCGAAGGGCAGCCUGGCUAGCUGCAACUGACAUUGAGGCUUGAAAGUGUGGGUAUCAAACAGGAUAAAUACCCGGGUAAUCCACCCGGAAAACAAUGAUUACCAGGUGUGCGGGGACUGACCCCCUGCGUGCCGCAGUAAACACAAUAAGUAUUCCACCUGGGGAGUACGAUCGCAAGGUUGAAACUCAAAGGAAUUGACGGGGGCCCGCACAAGCGGUGGAUUAUGAGGUUUAAUUCGAAGCAACGCGAAGAACCUUACCAGGGUUUGACAUCCUGCUAACGAAGUAGAGAUACAUUAGGUGCCCUUCGGGGAAAGCAGAGACAGGUGGUGCAUGGUUGUCGUCAGCUCGUGUCGUGAGAUGUUGGGUUAAGUCCCGCAACGAGCGCAACCCCUAUUGUUAGUCGCUACGCAAGAGCACUCUAGCGAGACUGCCGUUGACAAAACGGAGGAAGGUGGGGACGACGUCAAAUCAUCAUGCCCCUUAUAUCCUGGGCUACACACGUAAUACAAUGGCGGUCAACAGAGGGUAGCAAAGCCGCGAGGCAGAGCAAACCCCCAAAAGCCGUCCCAGUUCGGAUUGUAGGCUGCAACUCGCCUGCAUGAAGUCGGAAUCGCUAGUAAUCGCGGAUCAGCAUGCCGCGGUGAAUACGUUCCCGGGCCUUGCACUCACCGCCCGUCAAG
This 1400-nucleotide ribosomal RNA is filed under the name uncultured bacterium. Its description in RNAcentral is "partial 16S ribosomal RNA". It matches the Rfam family "Bacterial small subunit ribosomal RNA". The record is from RNAcentral.